CUACGUGCCAGCAGCCGCGGUAAUACGGAAGGUCCAGGCGUUAUCCGGAUUUAUUGGGUUUAAAGGGAGUGUAGGCGGUUUGUUAAGCGUGUUGUGAAAUUUAGGUGCUCAACAUUUAACUUGCAGCGCGAACUGUCAGACUUGAGUACACGCAACGUAUGCGGAAUUCAUGGUGUAGCGGUGAAAUGCUUAGAUAUCAUGAAGAACUCCGAUUGCGAAGGCAGCAUACGGGAGUGUAACUGACGCUUAAGCUCGAAGGUGCGGGUAUCGAACAGGAUUAGAUACCCUGGUAGUCCGCACAGUAAACGUUGGGCACUAGGUGUGGGGGCCACCCGUGGUUUCUGCGCCGUAGCUAACGCUUUAAGUGCCCCGCCUGGGGAGUACGGCCGCAAGGCUAAAACUCAAAGGAAUUGACGGGGGCCCGCACAAGCGGCGGAGCAUGCGGAUUAAUUCGAUGCAACGCGAAGAACCUUACCAAGGCUUGACAUGC
Molecule: ribosomal RNA, 490 nt
Filed under: uncultured bacterium
Lineage: Bacteria
Description: bacterial SSU rRNA
Rfam family: Bacterial small subunit ribosomal RNA
Source: RNAcentral